GGGUUUUGGCGGCUUCCCGAGUUCCCCUCGCCGACCGCCAUGUCACAUCUUACGGAAGAGGCGGGGGCUGCCGCGGAGAGGAUAUUUUUUGUUUUGUUUUGUUUUCACAAGCACACAUCCUCAGAUUUUUGGAACAUACUUACAUCUCGAAGAUAGCGCUCCAUCCAUUUAAUGAUAUCAAUACCCCGGAUUCUAUCCUCAAAUAUGUCAAUCUACAAGAAAAGGAUGCGCAAAAGAGCUCUUAAUGAGAGCUUUCUCCGAGUGCAGACCUCAAGAAAACACAAGAUCCUACAUACAUGUGCAACCCUAAAAGUAGUGCUCUCAAUAAGGAGGAACACGUGAGACCAAACAGAGAAGCAAAGAGUGUGGAAUGCAUCAGUUAAAAUCUCAAGAAACCCCGAGGCAGAGGAUUAAGAGAUACUGAAGAGAAGAUGAGUCUGUGUGCAUUUAUCUGUGCUUAGCCUGCUCCGAAUGGGAACUCAGCUCUCAAAUGAAGGUGUGUGUGGUAUGUGAUGGUGGAAGUAACCAGCAGCCAGGCAAAUGGCAGAGCGUGGCCCUUUUCCACCUCCAUGUGUAAUAAUUGCAGGACUCCCUUCCCAGACAAGACUGCUCACUCCUGCAGAAAAUGACCUUGUUCUUGAGAGCUGCUGCUAAUUUACAGUGAGGCACUAGGUUUCUACCCAGUGCCACGUGAGCAACCAAUCCAUCUACCCAGGGGCACGGCACUGACGAGCAGCAUCAUUUAGAAGGAAAGAAGUAUGGGUGGUGUUUGUUGUUUCCUGUGUGUUAAGGAAAAUCCAGUGAAAGUGACUGUGACCCUCCAACCUAGACUGUCUACUAGCUUUGACAAUGACCCCUGUCCUGCUAUUGAUGCACCAAGACUCAACACCUAGACCCACGAGAGUAGAUGCUCAGGAAAGAUUUGCUGACUGAACACAUGAUUGUGUCUACGCCUAGCAGUACUUUGUUGCGGGAUGGGCCCUGGCAGGGUUGGUAAAGCCCUCAUUUGUAGACAUGGAACCUCCCAGCUCCAGCCCUGCUAAGAACUGACAGAACUUGGCUAGCUCCAUGUUUUGUUCACGUGACUCUCAACCUGGUGUGGCCUGGACUCUAGUCCCUGCCUCAAGGAAAGUCCAGACUGACAUAGAAAAUCCCUGCUCACCAGCCUUGACCUUGGGAGAAAGCCCCUGACCUGUGAGUGGACAGAAGGCCUGGUGGUCAGCCCGUGGGAGCCCUGGAGCGUGCACUGCUGGAGCAGCUCAGAAAAAGCUGAGAAGCCAAGACUUGACUGUCAGUCCUGGAGAAUUAGAACAUGCCUGCUAAAUUUCAGUCCACUCUGAGGAAGGGGCAGUGCCCACAAGGAAACCUAGUGGGUGGGGUUCUGGCUGGGACUCAUCUGGAGUUCCCAGGGCAGAUGCCCGGCCCCAGCUUAUAGACCAUGAUGCGGCUGGGCUUCCGUGUCUGAUUCUUAAGUGCCUCAGGUAAACAGACUCUCCUUUGCUUUGCCAGGAGGAAUGACAUUACUAUCAGCAUUGUAAAAGUCUGUGGCCUUUGGGAGAGUAAUUUUACUUCUAAGACUCUCCUCUACAGAGAAGUGUGCACACUGUUCCCAGUGGAGUCUAUAAAGAUAGCAAAGAGCAAAGACUUAAAACAGAAUGGCUCUGGGUUUGAAGUGUUGUGUAUCUAGACAAUGAACAGCCCACCUUUAAACAAGCCCCACAUGGACUGAAGCGGAGGCAGCUCCAAAUGUAUUAGGUGACAGUGCCACAUGGCUCUGUGUGAUGGUAAGAUUAUAUGUGUACAUGUCAUCUCGAAAGGAGAAUUCGGCUUAUCUCUGGGGAGAGAGUCUGCAUCUUUUCUCAUUUGUACCGAGUAUGGAGUGUGUAUCUAUCUCUCUGUCAGAAAUGUCAAGGGAAGGGUUCACCAUUGACCUGAUGCUCACGAAGGUUAGGAACCAAUGCCAACCACAAUGCCCACCUCUACCUUCAGGAGACAGUAAACGCCUUAGAAUACAAAACCCAUAAACAACCAAGACUGUGGUGCCUGCUGGGGCUGGGCCUGAGCUGCACACAGAGGCUAGGUACCGAACAGCUGCCAUGGUAAACUGGCACAGUUAGGCACGCGGCCGGGUUCACACGCCCUCUGCCCUGACUUUAAAGACAGCAGUCUUGGCCCAGCUUCCCUCACCCCCUAUGUAUGAGCAGAGAGCUAUACUUGCUGGGUUUCCAGCUCUUGUAUUUGGACUCCUCUUCUCUUUUCUCUUUUUUGAGAGAGGGUCUCACUGUGUAUUCGUGGCUGCUCUGGAACUUCCUGGACCAGGCUGGCCUUGAUGUAGAUCUCUGCCUUCUAAAAAA
This 2354-nucleotide long non-coding RNA is filed under the name Mus musculus (house mouse). Its description in RNAcentral is "RIKEN cDNA E130307A14 gene". Lineage: Eukaryota; Metazoa; Chordata; Mammalia; Rodentia; Muridae. The record is from RNAcentral.